GGUGUAGGCGGUCGGGCAAGUCGGAUGUGAAAGCCCUUGGCUCAACUGAGGAAGUGCAUUCGAAACUGCUCGACUUGAGUAUGGGAGAGGAAGGUGGAAUUCUCGGUGUAGCGGUGACAUGCGUAGAUAUCGGGAGGAACACCGGUGGCGAAGGCGGCCUUCUGGCCCAAUACUGACGCUGACGACCCGAAAGCGUGGGAGCAAACA
RNAcentral lists this ribosomal RNA (207 nucleotides) under uncultured bacterium. RNAcentral's name for it is "partial 16S ribosomal RNA". It matches the Rfam family "Bacterial small subunit ribosomal RNA", at positions 568 to 774 of the family's 1533-position model. The record is from RNAcentral.